GACGAACGCUGGCGGCGUGCUUAACACAUGCAAGUCGAACGGAAAGGCCCUGCUUUUGUGGGGUGCUCGAGUGGCGAACGGGUGAGUAACACGUGAGUAACCUGCCCUUGACUUUGGGAUAACUUCAGGAAACUGGGGCUAAUACCGGAUAGGAGCUCCUGCUGCAUGGUGGGGGUUGGAAAGUUUCGGCGGUUGGGGAUGGACUCGCGGCUUAUCAGCUUGUUGGUGGGGUAGUGGCUUACCAAGGCUUUGACGGGUAGCCGGCCUGAGAGGGUGACCGGCCACAUUGGGACUGAGAUACGGCCCAGACUCCGACGGGAGGCAGCAGUGGGGAAGAUUGCACAAUGGGCGGAAGCCUGAUGCAGCAACGCCGCGUGCGGGAUGACGGCCUUCGGGUUGUAAACCGCUUUCGCCUGUGACGAAGCGUGAGUGACGGUAAUGGGUAAAGAAGCACCGGCUAACUACGU
Molecule: ribosomal RNA, 467 nt
Filed under: uncultured bacterium
Lineage: Bacteria
Description: partial 16S ribosomal RNA
Rfam family: Bacterial small subunit ribosomal RNA
Source: RNAcentral